Molecule: ribosomal RNA, 1029 nt
Filed under: Amolops tuberodepressus
Lineage: Eukaryota; Metazoa; Chordata; Amphibia; Anura; Ranidae
Description: partial large subunit ribosomal RNA
Rfam family: Bacterial large subunit ribosomal RNA
Source: RNAcentral
CUUUAUUUUUUUAUUACACCAAACAAAAUACUAAAUUUAAGAGCUAUUCAAAUAAGGCACAGCUUAUUUGAAAUGGGGUACAACCCCUAAUACUGGGUUAAUCUAGAUAUAUUAAAUAAAGUGGGCCUAAAAGCAGCCAUCUUCCAAAAAGCGUUAAAGCUUAACAUAUUAACAUCUACAAUUCCACAAUUUUUACUUAACCCUUCAUUACUACUGAACUAUUUUAUACCCCUAUAAAAGUCAUUAUGCUAGAACUAGUAACAAGAAAUUGCCCUUCUCCAAAAUGUAUGUUUAAACCAAAAUGGACACUCCACUGGUAGUUAACGUAAAUGUAAAAAUCAUAGUACCACACACUAGAAAACCCUAUGAUUCCCAACGUCAACCUUACACUAGAACAUUACAGGAAAGAUUAAAAGAGAAAGAAGGAACUCGGCAAACCACAGUCCCGCCUGUUUACCAAAAACACCGCCUCUUGCCCAAAUAUAAGAGGUCCAGCCUGCCCAGUGACAUAGUUUAACGGCCGCGGUACCCUAACCGUGCGAAGGUAGCAUAAUCACUUGUUCUUUAAAUAAGGACUCGUAUCAACGGCAUCACGAGGGCUGUACUGUCUCCUUUCUCCAAUCAGUGAAACUGAUCUCCCCGUGAAGAAGCGGGGAUUGACCUAUAAGACGAGAAGACCCCAUGGAGCUUUAAACCCAACACACACCUCUACACACCCAAAUCAAUAUAGCCUAAGAGACUUGCGUGUUGGUUUUAGGUUGGGGGGACCACGGAGUAUAAUCAAACCUCCAUGACAGACGGGCUAACACCCUUAUCCAUGAACCACAAUUCUAAGAGCCAAUAAAUUGUUGUCUAUGACCCAAUUACUUGAUCAACGAACCAAGUUACCCUGGGGAUAACAGCGCAAUCUACUUCAAGAGCCCCUAUCGACAAGUAGGUUUACGACCUCGAUGUUGGAUCAGGGUAUCCUAGUGGUGCAGCCGCUACUAAAGGUUCGUUUGUUCAACGAUUAAAACCCUACGUGAUCUG